Molecule: ribosomal RNA, 427 nt
Filed under: uncultured beta proteobacterium
Lineage: Bacteria; Pseudomonadati; Pseudomonadota; Betaproteobacteria
Description: bacterial SSU rRNA
Rfam family: Bacterial small subunit ribosomal RNA
Source: RNAcentral
UGGGGAAUUUUGGACAAUGGGCGAAAGCCUGAUCCAGCCAUGCCGCGUGAGUGAAGAAGGCCUUCGGGUUGUAAAGCUCUUUUAGUCGGAAAGAAAGAGUUGCAAUGAAUAAUUGUGAUUUAUGACGGUACCGACAGAAAAAGCACCGGCUAACUACGUGCCAGCAGCCGCGGUAAUACGUAGGGUGCGAGCGUUAAUCGGAAUUACUGGGCGUAAAGGGUGCGCAGGCGGUCUUGCAAGUCAGAUGUGAAAGCCCCGGGCUUAACCUGGGAAUUGCGUUUGAAACUACAAGGCUAGAGUGCAGCAGAGGGGAGUGGAAUUCCAUGUGUAGCAGUGAAAUGCGUAGAGAUGUGGAAGAACACCGAUGGCGAAGGCAGCUCCCUGGGUUGACACUGACGCUCAUGCAUGAAAGCGUGGGGAGCAAACA